AUGAAGGAGGCAAAACGACAGCUUUAUCAUGGUUGUACCAAGUUUUCAAGGUUCUCCUUUGUGGUAAAGCUUCUUCACUUGAAGUCAUACCAUAGGAUCCCGAAUAGUGCAUUUACUGAAAUUUUAAAGCUAUUAGCCGAAGCAUUCCCUGAACCCAAUACACUCCCAAAAUCGUAUAAGGAAGCAAAGAAUCUUCUAAAGGAAUUAGGCCUUGGGUAG
RNAcentral lists this ribosomal RNA (219 nucleotides) under Triticum aestivum (bread wheat). Its description in RNAcentral is "partial small subunit ribosomal RNA". Lineage: Eukaryota; Viridiplantae; Streptophyta; Magnoliopsida; Poales; Poaceae. The record is from RNAcentral.